CAGCCGCCGCGGGAAUACAGAGGGUGCGAGCGUUAAUCGGAUUUACUGGGCGUAAAGCGUGCGUAGGCGGCUUCUUAAGUCGGAUGUGAAAUCCCUGAGCUUAACUUAGAAAUUGCAUUCGAUACUGGGAAGCUAGAGUAUGGGAGAGGAUGGUAGAAUUCCAGGUGUAGCGGUGAAAUGCGUAGAGAUCUGGAGGAAUACCGAUGGCGAAGGCAGCCAUCUGGCCUAAUACUGACGCUGAGGUACGAAAGCAUGGGGAGCAAACAGGAUUAGAUACCCCGGUAGUUCCUGUCUCUUAUAA
Molecule: ribosomal RNA, 301 nt
Filed under: uncultured bacterium
Lineage: Bacteria
Description: partial 16S ribosomal RNA
Rfam family: Bacterial small subunit ribosomal RNA
Source: RNAcentral